AUUGAACGCUGGCGGCAGGCCUAACACAUGCAAGUCGAGCGGAUGAAGGGAGCUUGCUCCUGGAUUCAGCGGCGGACGGGUGAGUAAUGCCUAGGAAUCUGCCUGGUAGUGGGGGAUAACGUCCGGAAACGGGCGCUAAUACCGCAUACGUCCUGAGGGAGAAAGUGGGGGAUCUUCGGACCUCACGCUAUCAGAUGAGCCUAGGUCGGAUUAGCUAGUUGGUGGGGUAAAGGCUUACCAAGGCGACGAUCCGUAACUGGUCUGAGAGGAUGAUCAGUCACACUGGAACUGAGACACGGUCCAGACUCCUACGGGAGGCAGCAGUGGGGAAUAUUGGACAAUGGGCGAAAGCCUGAUCCAGCCAUGCCGCGUGUGUGAAGAAGGUCUUCGGAUUGUAAAGCACUUUAAGUUGGGAGGAAGGGCAGUAAGUUAAUACCUUGCUGUUUUGACGUUACCAACAGAAUAAGCACCGGCUAACUUCGUG
Molecule: ribosomal RNA, 484 nt
Filed under: uncultured bacterium
Lineage: Bacteria
Description: partial 16S ribosomal RNA
Rfam family: Bacterial small subunit ribosomal RNA
Source: RNAcentral